Molecule: ribosomal RNA, 389 nt
Filed under: uncultured bacterium
Lineage: Bacteria
Description: bacterial SSU rRNA
Rfam family: Bacterial small subunit ribosomal RNA
Source: RNAcentral
AUUGAACGCUGGCGGAAUGCUUUUACACAUGCAAGUCGAACGGUAGAGGGGGCAACCCCUCGAGAGUGGCGAACGGGUGAGUAAUAUAUCGGAACGUGCCCAGUCGUGGGGGAUAACGUAGCGAAAGUUACGCUAAUACCGCAUACGAUCUACGGAUGAAAGCGGGGGAUCGCAAGACCUCGCGCGAUUGGAGCGGCCGAUAUCAGAUUAGGUAGUUGGUGGGGUAAAGGCUCACCAAGCCAACGAUCUGUAGCUGGUCUGAGAGGACGACCAGCCACACUGGAACUGAGACACGGUCCAGACUCCUACGGGAGGCAGCAGUGGGGAAUUUUGGACAAUGGGGGCAACCCUGAUCCAGCAAUGCCGCGUGAGUGAAGAAGGCCUCGGUU